UUCCAGAAUCUUCUAAUCAACAUUCAACAGUGCUGUUAUUAGUUGAAGUAAUUCAAAUAGCUGUGGAUUCUUUUCACAUUCAUGUUUAGGUUUGAUGAAUUGAUUAGCAAAUUUGCAUCCUAGACAGAACAUGAAAAAUCUUUUGAAAUUAAAUACUUUUAGCCCACGUUUAGUUGGGUGAUUUUAGAGGUUAGAAAGACUUAUUGUUUUUUUUUGAGUAAUUAGUUAACCAUUAAGUAGGUAAUCUAAUCACUCAAUUUAUU
This 263-nucleotide long non-coding RNA is filed under the name Salvia miltiorrhiza (redroot sage). RNAcentral describes it as "long non-coding RNA (SMIL_LNC010304)". Lineage: Eukaryota; Viridiplantae; Streptophyta; Magnoliopsida; Lamiales; Lamiaceae. The record is from RNAcentral.